GAUAAACGCUAGCGGCAGGCUUAACACAUGCAAGUCGAGGGGCAGCAUAGAUUGUAGCAAUACAAUUGGUGGCGACCGGCGCACGGGUGCGUAACGCGUAUGCAACCUACCCGUCACAGGGGGAUAAUCCGGAGAAAUCUGGUCUAAUACCCCAUAACAUAUGGAUCGGCAUCGGUUCAUGUUGAAAUUUUCGGAGGUGACGGAUGGGCAUGCGUAACAUUAGCUUGUUGGUGAGGUAACGGCUCACCAAGGCGACGAUGCUUAGGGGGACUGAGAGGUUUUCCCCCCACACUGGUACUGAGACACGAACCAGACUCCUACGGGAGGCAGCAGUGAGGAAUAUUGGUCGAUGGGCGCAAGCCUGAACCAGCCAUGCCGCGUGCAGGAUGACGGCUCUAUGAGUUGUAAACUGCUUUUGUACGAGGGUAAAGUGGGUUACGUGUAACCUUUUGAAAGUAUCGUACGAAUAAGGAUCGGCUAACUCCGUGCCAGCAGCCGCCGUAA
RNAcentral lists this ribosomal RNA (504 nucleotides) under uncultured bacterium. RNAcentral describes it as "partial 16S ribosomal RNA". It matches the Rfam family "Bacterial small subunit ribosomal RNA", at positions 28 to 523 of the family's 1533-position model. The record is from RNAcentral.